This is a non-coding RNA of Pelobates cultripes (western spadefoot toad), 214 nucleotides long. The record is from the annotation of a GenBank genome assembly. Lineage: Eukaryota; Metazoa; Chordata; Amphibia; Anura; Pelobatidae.
UCUUACUGCUGAUAGGCAAGUAGAAAUAUUGCAGCCAAGCACAUUCCUGCACAGGCCAUAGAAUAAAGCUAUUCGCACUUAAAGUGGCUCUGUCAUGGCAUAGUUACCCUUCCUCGAUCAAUUCUUCUUUUCUUCCCUGUUUUCCAAUAUGUUCUUUUCUAUUAUUUUCUCUUCUUUUCUUAAAUACAUAAGCCAGGUAUUAUUUCUCUGCUUG